Molecule: long non-coding RNA, 1137 nt
Filed under: Gallus gallus (chicken)
Lineage: Eukaryota; Metazoa; Chordata; Aves; Galliformes; Phasianidae
Source: RNAcentral
AGCGGGGUUCGGCCCUCGGGCUGCGGGAGGGGACUGCUGCCUUUUUCUUUGCGCCUUAAAACAAAGGCUGCAAAUAGGGUUCUGCGGGAUGAAGCAGGGCGGCGAACUCCUCAGAAAGCAGUGGGUUUUGUUUCCACAGUGAUUUAUGAAAAUUUUCGGACGGUAAUUUGUUAGCACGGUGUUCUCAGCCUUCCCAAUCAGCACUCCCAGAAAUGCUCGACAAGCGGCUCACUUCUUAUUCAUUUAUGCAACCGCAAAGAUUCCGUGUUGUCGAAGCCUGGCACUACAGAGGAGAGAGCUGUGACAGCCCGUGCCGGCUGCCCUGCCAGCCAAAAGCACUGCAGAAAUCUGCGUACCUGGCAUGUAACUUGCAGAUGCCUCCUCAUCCACCCGCUGGGUGCUCUGGGUGCUCAUCACCGACGGGACUCUAAUGGGGUCAAUGAGGUUUCUGCAAACCCAGUAUCUCAACUAGUGAAAAGCAGCCAGUCCCCAGUCUCCGGUGCCGCUUAAGGAGACUGAAUUUUGUACAAAGGGGAAACAAAAGGAAUGAAGCGGUCCAACCUGUGCAGCUUCUUGCAUAACCUCUGCUUCUGGGGGCUGUUUCAACCCUACCACACCCAAAGCGUGGCUCUCUGCAAACAUCGUACGGGCUGGAUGAGGUUUAUAGGAAGAGGUAACACCUUUCAUUUGACCAGUUAGGAUAGCUGGCAAAAUUAGACAGGGUUGCAAGCACAUAAAGAUUCCUUCUGUUGAGAUGGAAUAGCCUUCCUCCUGUUCUUCAAACUGACAACAACGACAACAACAAAAGAAUUGAAGGUUAAAUACACAUUGGAAUCAACUGCUUAAAGCUGAAUUAGUCUUCCUGCACUACACGUUUCCCCAUCACAAGGAAUUCUUAACUGUAAGAGAAGACCAGAGCUGUGGUGGUGUCCCAUCCCAUUCAUGUUUGCAGUCACUGUGAGAUACGCAGUAAGGCUGGAGACACUUUUCAUUGACAGCUCUGACAUAGAAACCUCGACCUCAUUGCAGUAGAAGUGCUCACAGUAUCUGCCUUCAGACUGCGAGGCUGGCCAAGCUAAGCUCCUUCAGUGACUACUCAGAAACUUACUCUAUCUGCAUAUUCCAGUCUGAAUUUUC